Molecule: ribosomal RNA, 467 nt
Filed under: uncultured bacterium
Lineage: Bacteria
Description: partial 16S ribosomal RNA
Rfam family: Bacterial small subunit ribosomal RNA
Source: RNAcentral
GACGAACGCUGGCGGCGUGCUUAACACAUGCAAGUCGAACGGAAAGGCCCUGCUUUUGUGGGGUGCUCGAGUGGCGAACGGGUGAGUAACACGUGAGUAACCUGCCCUUGACUUUGGGAUAACUUCAGGAAACUGGGGCUAAUACCGGAUAGGAGCUCCUGCUGCAUGGUGGGGGUUGGAAAGUUUCGGCGGUUGGGGAUGGACUCGCGGCUUAUCAGCUUGUUGGUGGGGUAGUGGAUUACCAAGGCUUUGACGGGUAGCCGGCCUGAGAGGGUGACCGGCCACAUUGGGACUGAGAUACGGCCCAGACUCCUACGGGAGGCAGCAGUGGGGAAUAUUGCACAAUGGGCGGAAGCCUGAUGCAGCAACGCCGCGUGCGGGAUGACGGCCUUCGGGUUGUAAACCGCUUUCGCCUGUGACGAAGCGUGAGUGACGGUAAUGGGUAAAGAAGCACCGGCUAACUACGU